UACAGAGGUCUCAACCGUUGUUCGGAUUCAUUGGGCGUAAAGGGCGCGUAGGCGGCGCGGUAAGUCACUUGUGAAAUCUCUGAGCUUAACUCAGAACGGCCAAGUGAUACUGCAGUGCUAGAGUGUGGAAGGGGCAAUCGGAAUUCUUGGUGUAGCGGUGAAAUGCGUAGAUAUCAAGAGGAACACCUGAGGUGAAGACGGGUUGCUGGGCCAACACUGACGCUGAUGCGCGAAAGCCAGGGGAGCAAACGGG
Molecule: ribosomal RNA, 253 nt
Filed under: uncultured bacterium
Lineage: Bacteria
Description: partial 16S ribosomal RNA
Rfam family: Bacterial small subunit ribosomal RNA
Source: RNAcentral